Long non-coding RNA from Anas platyrhynchos (mallard), 1075 nucleotides. RefSeq lists it as uncharacterized. The record is from RefSeq and is a predicted model, not a curated record. NCBI's taxonomy places the organism in Eukaryota, Metazoa, Chordata, Aves, Anseriformes, Anatidae.
GUCCCGGGGCUCGGGGCGAUGGCCCCCUCGGGAAGAUGGCCCACCCAGCCCCAGCCACCGGCACCCAGCGGUUUUCAGCCCCGGCAGCCUCGCCCGGUGCCGGGCUGGGGCCGGGGCCGGGCUGAGGGCGCCCCCUGCCGCGCAUUGCCACGGCUCCGUGGCGUGAGGGCCGUCUCUGGUGGCAGCGCCGCCUCGGAGAUAAAAGCCGUCGUAAUGGGAAAAAAUACGCAAAACAAAACGCUCUUUUCCAGGCUGGUAUGUUCGUAACGCAUUUUGAAAGGCAUAGUUUGAUUUCUGAGGACUUUUCCUCAGACCCCAUCCUCCCUUCUUUCAAGCACCACGGCCAAGAGGAAGGCGCUGGCGGCUGGAGGAGGAGGCAGCAUGGCAUUUGUCCUCCGUGACACCUUUGCAGCUCUACUUCAGAGGAUGACCAGAAGCAGACUUCAUGACCAUGCUUCUAACAAUCUGGAGGCAGUUUACCACUGCACACAGUCCCCAACCUCAACAGAUACCAUCUAAAAUGUUAAUUACAACUGAUUGAAUAAUAAUAAUAACAAAUAAAAAAAACACCGCCUGAUUUAUUUUGGGGUGAGGCUAAAGAACAAGUAACAACUGACAGCAACAAGUUUCUCUGAAAAAAUUAGGGAUAUGCAAGUCUCCUCGCUUGAUUACUUGCUCUGCACGUUGAUCCUCCAAAUCCAGCCCCCGAGAGCAGCACUGCAGGGAAUGCUCCACAGACAGAAGCUUUUAGUUUCCUGCCCACUGCCAGCAGAAUCUCGCACAGGGUUUAUUCCUGGCAGUGAAACUUUUGGCUGACUGACCUUAGCUCACUUCCCCAGGGCCCAUUUUCCAAUACAUUCUGUGCACAAUUACACACAUUUUCUUUGGUGCUACAGCGAUGUGAGAAAUCAACUUACUCAUCUUUUUGAAGGCUGCAAUCACAAGUGCAGUGGUGUUUUAACCUCAAUUUUACGUACUGUACAUAAAAGACUUUGAAACUGUUAUAUCCCUACCAGGCCCUUAGAAAAGUACCCUAAGACCACGGAAAAAAUAUCAGGAAGCAGCACUGACCUGA